UACGUAGGUGGCAAGCGUUGUCCGGAUUUAUUGGGUUUAAAGGGUGCGUAGGCGGUCCUAUAAGUCAGUUGUGAAAUACGGCAGCUUAACUGUCGAGGUGCAAUUGAUACUGCAGGACUUGAGUACAGACGAGGUAGGCGGAAUUGACGGUGUAGCGGUGAAAUGCUUAGAUAUCGUCAAGAACACCGAUGGCGAAGGCAGGUCUCUGGGCAUUAACUGACGCUGAGGAGCGAAAGCAUGGGGAGCGAACAGG
Molecule: ribosomal RNA, 253 nt
Filed under: uncultured bacterium
Lineage: Bacteria
Description: partial 16S ribosomal RNA
Rfam family: Bacterial small subunit ribosomal RNA
Source: RNAcentral